Molecule: ribosomal RNA, 253 nt
Filed under: uncultured bacterium
Lineage: Bacteria
Description: partial 16S ribosomal RNA
Rfam family: Bacterial small subunit ribosomal RNA
Source: RNAcentral
CGAAGGGGGCUAGCGUUGCUCGGAAUCACUGGGCGUAAAGCGCACGUAGGCGGCUUCUUAAGUCAGGGGUGAAAUCCUGGAGCUCAACUCCAGAACUGCCUUUGAUACUGAGAAGCUUGAGUCCGGGAGAGGUGAGUGGAACUGCGAGUGUAGAGGUGAAAUUCGUAGAUAUUCGCAAGAACACCAGUGGCGAAGGCGGCUCACUGGCCCGGUACUGACGCUGAGGUGCGAAAGCGUGGGAGCAAACAGGAUU